UACGAAGGGGGCUAGCGUUGUUCGGAAUCACUGGGCGUAAAGGGCGCGUAGGCGGCACAGCAAGUCGGGAGUGAAAGCCCGGGGCUCAACCCCGGAAUGGCUUUCGAAACUGCUGAGCUAGAGUACAGAAGGGGCAACCGGAAUUCCCAGUGUAGCGGUGAAAUGCGUAGAUAUUGGGAAGAACACCUGAGGCGAAGGCGGGUUGCUGGGCUGAUACUGACGCUGAGGCGCGAAAGCCAGGGGAGCAAACGGG
RNAcentral lists this ribosomal RNA (253 nucleotides) under uncultured bacterium. Its description in RNAcentral is "partial 16S ribosomal RNA". It matches the Rfam family "Bacterial small subunit ribosomal RNA", at positions 524 to 776 of the family's 1533-position model. The record is from RNAcentral.